RNAcentral lists this ribosomal RNA (253 nucleotides) under uncultured bacterium. RNAcentral's name for it is "partial 16S ribosomal RNA". It matches the Rfam family "Bacterial small subunit ribosomal RNA", at positions 524 to 776 of the family's 1533-position model. The record is from RNAcentral.
UACGGAGGGUGCAAGCGUUGUUCGGAAUUAUUGGGCGUAAAGAGCAUGUAGGCGGCUCGCCAAGUCUGAUGUGAAAGCCCUGGGCUCAACCCAGGAAGUGCAUUGGAAACUGGCGAACUUGAGUACGGGAGAGGAAAGUGGAAUUUCGAGUGUAGGAGUGAAAUCCGUAGAUAUUCGAAGGAACACCAGUGGCGAAGGCGGCUUUCUGGACCGAUACUGACGCUGAGAUGCGAAAGCGUGGGGAGCAAACAGG